AACGAACGCUGGCGGCAGGCCUAACACAUGCAAGUCGAACGCACCGCAAGGUGAGUGGCGCACGGGUGAGUAACACGUGGGAAUGUACCCUUUGGUUCGGAAUAACGUUUGGAAACGAACGCUAAUACCGGAUGAGCCCUGCGGGGGAAAGAUUUAUCGCCAAAGGAGCAGCCCGCGUCUGAUUAGCUAGUUGGUGGGGUAAAGGCCUACCAAGGCGACGAUCAGUAGCUGGUCUGAGAGGAUGAUCAGCCACACUGGGACUGAGACACGGCCCAGACUCCUACGGGAGGCAGCAGUGGGGAAUAUUGCGCAAUGGACGAAAGUCUGACGCAGCCACGCCGCGUGAGUGAGGAAGGCCUUCGGGUUGUUAAAGCUCUGUCAACUGGAAAACGGACUAUCCGGGAAAGUUCGGUAGCGUGAUGGUACCAGUGGAGGAAGCACCGGCAAACUCUGUGCCAGCAGCCGCGGUAAU
RNAcentral lists this ribosomal RNA (472 nucleotides) under uncultured bacterium. Its description in RNAcentral is "bacterial SSU rRNA". It matches the Rfam family "Bacterial small subunit ribosomal RNA", at positions 29 to 524 of the family's 1533-position model. The record is from RNAcentral.